RNAcentral lists this ribosomal RNA (526 nucleotides) under Anastrepha littoralis. RNAcentral's name for it is "Toxotrypana littoralis partial small subunit ribosomal RNA". The stretch from base 394 to 526 matches the Rfam family "Bacterial large subunit ribosomal RNA", at positions 2473 to 2605 of the family's 2925-position model. The record is from RNAcentral. Lineage: Eukaryota; Metazoa; Arthropoda; Insecta; Diptera; Tephritidae.
AAACAUGUCUUUUUGUAUUUUAUUUAAAGUCUAACCUGCCCACUGAAUAUUUUUAAAUGGCCGCAGUAAUUUGACUGUGCAAAGGUAGCAUAAUAAUUAGUCUUUUAAUUGAAGGCUUGAAUGAAUGGUUGGACGAAGUAUAAACUGUUUCAUAUAAAUUUAUUUUAGAAUUUUAUUUUUUAGUUAAAAAGCUAAAAUUUUAUUAAAAGACGAGAAGACCCUAUAAAUCNUUAUAUUUUAUGUUAUUUAAAUAUUUUAAAUUUAUUUAAUUUUUAUAGUAUAAAAUAUUUUAUUGGGGUGAUAAUAAAAUUUAAUUAACUUUUAGUUUUAAAAAUCAUUAAUUUAUGAAUUGUUGAUCCAUUAAUAUUGAUUAUAAGAUUAAGUUACUUUAGGGAUAACAGCGUAAUUUUUUUUGAGAGUUCAUAUCGAUAAAAAAGUUUGCGACCUCGAUGUUGGAUUAAGAUAUAUUUUUGGGUGUAGCUGUUCAAAUAAUAAGUCUGUUCGACUUUUAAAUUCUUACAUGAUC